This 499-nucleotide ribosomal RNA is filed under the name uncultured bacterium. RNAcentral describes it as "partial 16S ribosomal RNA". It matches the Rfam family "Bacterial small subunit ribosomal RNA", at positions 29 to 523 of the family's 1533-position model. The record is from RNAcentral.
AUUGAACGCUGGCGGCAUGCCUUACACAUGCAAGUCGAACGGCAGCACGGGAGCAGUCCUGGUGGCGAGUGGCGAACGGGUGAGUAAAGUAUCGGAACGUGCCCAGUCGUGGGGGAUAACGUAGCGAAAGUUACGCUAAUACCGCAUACGAUCUAUGGAUGAAAGCGGGGGAUCGCAAGACCUCGCGCGAUUGGAGCGGCCGAUAUCAGAUAGGUAGUUGGUGGGGUAAAGGCUCACCAAGCCGACGAUCUGUAGCUGGUCUGAGAGGACGACCAGCCACACUGGGACUGAGACACGGCCCAGACUCCGACGGGAGGCAGCAGUGGGGAAUGUUGAACAAUGGGCGAAAGCCUGAUCCAGCCAUGCCGCGUGCAGGAUGAAGGCCUUCGGGUUGUAAACUGCUUUUGUACGGAACGAAAAGGUUUGGGCUAAUAAGCUGAGCUCAUGACGGUACCGUAAGAAUAAGCACCGGCUAACUACGUGCCAGCAGCCGCGGUAA